CAGCAGCCGCGGGAAUACGUAGGUGGCAAGCGUUGUCCGGAAUUAUUGGGCGUAAAGGGCUCGCAGGCGGUUUCUUAAGUCUGAUGUGAAAGCCCCCGGCUCAACCGGGGAGGGUCAUUGGAAACUGGGAAACUUGAGUGCAGAAGAGGAGAGUGGAAUUCCACGUGUAGCGGUGAAAUGCGUAGAGAUGUGGAGGAACACCAGUGGCGAAGGCGACUCUCUGGUCUGUAACUGACGCUGAGGAGCGAAAGCGUGGUGAGCGAGCAGGAUUAGAUACCCCGGUAGUCCCUGUCUCUUAUAC
Molecule: ribosomal RNA, 301 nt
Filed under: uncultured bacterium
Lineage: Bacteria
Description: partial 16S ribosomal RNA
Rfam family: Bacterial small subunit ribosomal RNA
Source: RNAcentral